Molecule: ribosomal RNA, 506 nt
Filed under: uncultured bacterium
Lineage: Bacteria
Description: partial 16S ribosomal RNA
Rfam family: Bacterial small subunit ribosomal RNA
Source: RNAcentral
AGUGAACGCUGGCGGUAGGCCUAACACAUGCAAGUCGAACGGCAGCACAGGAGAGCUUGCUCUCGGGGUGGCGAGUGGCGGACGGGUCAGGAAUACAUCGGAAUCUACUCUGUCGUGGGGGAUAAAGUAGGGAAACUUACGCUAAUACCGCAUACGACCUACGGGCGAAAGCAGGGGACCUCCGGGCCUUGCUCGAUUGAAUGAGCCGAUGUCGGAUGAGCUAGGUGGCGGGGUAAAGGCCCACCAAGGCGACGAUCCGUAGCUGGUCUGAGAGGAUGAUCAGCCACACUGGAACUGAGACACGGUCCAGACGCCUACGGGAGGCAGCAGUGGGGAAUAUUGGACAAUGGGCGCAAGCCUGAUCCAGCCAUACCGCGUGGGUGAAGAAGGCCUUCGGGUUGUAAAGCCCUUUUGUUGGGAAAGAAAUCCAACUGGCUAAUACCCGGCUGGGAUGACGGUACCCAAAGAAUAAGCACCGGCUAACUUCGUGCCAGCCGCCGCGGUAA